This 429-nucleotide ribosomal RNA is filed under the name Verrucomicrobiota bacterium. RNAcentral describes it as "Verrucomicrobia bacterium partial 16S ribosomal RNA". It matches the Rfam family "Bacterial small subunit ribosomal RNA", at positions 355 to 776 of the family's 1533-position model. Lineage: Bacteria; Pseudomonadati; Verrucomicrobiota. The record is from RNAcentral.
UAGGGAAUCUUCCGCAAUGGACGAAAGUCUGACGGAGCAACGCCGCGUGAUUGAAGAAGGAUUUCGGUUCGUAAAACUCUGUUGUUAGGGAAGAAAAAAUGUAUAGUAACUAUAUACAAAAGAGACGGUACCUAACCAGAAAGCCACGGCUAACUACGUGCCAGCAGCCGCGGUAAUACGUAGGUGGCAAGCGUUGUCCGGAAUUAUUGGGCGUAAAGCGCGCGCAGGUGGUUUAGAAAGUCUGAUGUGAAAGCCCACGGCUCAACCGUGGAGGGUCAUUGGAAACUAAUAAACUUGAGUGCAGGAGAGAAAAGUGGAAUUCCUAGUGUAGCGGUGAAAUGCGUAGAGAUUAGGAGGAACACCGGUGGCGAAAGCGGCUUUUUGGCCUGCAACUGACACUGAGGCGCGAAAGCGUGGGGAGCAAACAGG